CAAUAGCGUAUAUUAAAGUUGUUGCAGUUAAAAAGCUCGUAGUUGGAUUUCUGGAUGGAGCGACCGGUCGGGCAUUAAUUUGUCUGCACUGGAGUCGGUUCCGUCCAUCCUCCUGGAAAGUGCGUCGGGCAUUAAGUUGUUUGGCGUAUGAUCCAAGUCGUUUACUGUGAAAAAAUUAGAGUGUUUAAAGCAGGCCUUCGCCUUGAAUACAUUAGCAUGGAAUAAUAAGAUAGGACUUUGGUCUACUUUGUUGGUUUGCAGACCGAAGUAAUGAUUAAUAGGGAUAGUUGGGGGUAUUUAUAUUCCGAUGUCAGAGGUGAAAUUCUUAGAUUUUCGGAAGAUAAACUUAUGCGAAAGCAUUUACCAAGGAUGUUUUCAUUAA
RNAcentral lists this ribosomal RNA (382 nucleotides) under uncultured eukaryote. RNAcentral's name for it is "partial 18S ribosomal RNA". It matches the Rfam family "Eukaryotic small subunit ribosomal RNA", at positions 592 to 976 of the family's 1831-position model. The record is from RNAcentral.